This 602-nucleotide ribosomal RNA is filed under the name uncultured bacterium. RNAcentral's name for it is "partial 16S ribosomal RNA". It matches the Rfam family "Bacterial small subunit ribosomal RNA", at positions 355 to 950 of the family's 1533-position model. The record is from RNAcentral.
UGGGGAAUAUUGGACAAUGGGCGCAAGCCUGAUCCAGCCAUACCGCGUGGGUGAAGAAGGCCUUCGGGUUGUAAAGCCCUUUUGUUGGGAAAGAAUCCAGCUGGUUAAUACCCGGUUGGGAUGACGGUACCCAAAGAAUAAGCACCGGCUAACUUCGUGCCAGCAGCCGCGGUAAUACGAAGGGUGCAAGCGUUACUCGGAAUUACUGGGCGUAAAGCGUGCGUAGGUGGUCGUUUAAGUCUGUUGUGAAAGCCCUGGGCUCAACCUGGGAACUGCAGUGGAAACUGGACGACUAGAGUGUGGUAGAGGGUAGCGGAAUUCCUGGUGUAGCAGUGAAAUGCGUAGAGAUCAGGAGGAACAUCCAUGGCGAAGGCAGCUACCUGGACCAACACUGACACUGAGGCACGAAAGCGUGGGGAGCAAACAGGAUUAGAUACCUGGUAGUCCACGCCCUAAACGAUGCGAACUGGAUGUUGGGUGCAAUUUGGCACGCAGUAUCGAAGCUAACGCGUUAAGUUCGCCGCCUGGGGAGUACGGUCGCAAGACUGAAAACUUAAAGGAAAUUGACGGGGUCAUAGCUGUUUCCGUGCUGAUGGCGCGAG